RNAcentral lists this ribosomal RNA (468 nucleotides) under uncultured bacterium. RNAcentral's name for it is "partial 16S ribosomal RNA". It matches the Rfam family "Bacterial small subunit ribosomal RNA", at positions 28 to 507 of the family's 1533-position model. The record is from RNAcentral.
GACGAACGCUGGCGGCGUGCUUAACACAUGCAAGUCGAACGGAAAGGCCCUGCUUUUGUGGGGUGCUCGAGUGGCGAACGGGUGAGUAACACGUGAGUAACCUGCCCUUGACUUUGGGAUAACUUCAGGAAACUGGGGCUAAUACCGGAUAGGAGCUCCUGCUGCAUGGUGGGGGUUGGAAAGUUUCGGCGGUUGGGGCUGGACUCGCGGCUUAUCAGCUUGUUGGUGGGGUAGUUGCUUACCAAGGCUUUGACGGGUAGCCGGCCUGAGAGGGUGACCGGCCACAUUGGGACUGAGGUACGGACCAGAAUCCUACGGGAGGCAGCAGUGGGGAAUAUUGCACAAUGGGCGGAAGCCUGAUGCAGAAACGCCGCGUGCGGGAUGACGGCCUUCGGGUUGUAAACAGAUUUCGCAUGUGACGAAGCGUGAGUGACGGUAAUGGGUAAAGAAGCACCGGCUAACUACGUG